Molecule: ribosomal RNA, 701 nt
Filed under: uncultured bacterium
Lineage: Bacteria
Description: bacterial SSU rRNA
Rfam family: Bacterial small subunit ribosomal RNA
Source: RNAcentral
UAGGGGUUUCGGGGGGAUUCGGACCCCUUUCCGGGGUUCGUAAGCUAACGCCGUUUAAGUGUUUCCCCUGGGGAGUUACGCACGCAAGUGUGAACUUCAAAGGAAUUGGACGGGGGCCGCACCAAGCGGUUGGAGUAUGUGGUUUUAAUUCGAUGCAACGCGAAGAACCUUUACCAGGGUUUUGACAUCCUGCGGAACCUUCUUUAGAAAUUGAGGGUGCCUUCGGGAAUGCAGUGACAGGUGGUGCAUGGCUGUCGUCAGCUCGUGUCGUGAGAUGUUGGGUUAAGUCCCGCAACGAGCGCAACCCACGUUUUUAGUUGCCAGCAUUUAGUUGGGCACUCUAGAAAGACCGCCGGUGAUAAACCGGAGGAAGGUGUGGAUGACGUCAAGUCAUCAUGCCCCUUACACCCUGGGCUACACACGUACUACAAUGCUACGGACAAAGGGCAGCAAACUCGCGAGAGCUAGCAAAUCCCAUAAACCGUGGCUCAGUUCAGAUCGUAGGCUGCAACUCGCCUACGUGAAGUAGGAAUCUCUAGUAAUCGCAGGUCAGCAUACUGCGGUGAAUACGUUCCCGGGCCUUGUACACACCGCCCGUCACACCAUGGAAGUUGGCCAUGCCCGAAGUCGUUACUCCAACCCUUGUGGAGGAGGACGCCGAAGGUGGGGCUAAUGACUGGGGUGAAGUCGUAACAAGGUAA